Molecule: ribosomal RNA, 650 nt
Filed under: uncultured Actinomycetes bacterium
Lineage: Bacteria; Bacillati; Actinomycetota; Actinomycetes
Description: bacterial SSU rRNA
Rfam family: Bacterial small subunit ribosomal RNA
Source: RNAcentral
CUGGCCGUAACUGACGCUGAGGAGCGAAAGGGUGGGGAGCAAACAGGCUUAGAUACCCUGGUAGUCCACCCCGUAAACGUUGGGAACUAGUUGUGGGGUCCAUUCCACGGAUUCCGUGACGCAGCUAACGCAUUAAGUUCCCCGCCUGGGGAGUACGGCCGCAAGGCUAAAACUCAAAGGAAUUGACGGAGACCCGCACAAGCGGCGGAGCAUGCGGAUUAAUUCGAUGCAACGCGAAGAACCUUACCAAGGCUUGACAUAUAGAGGAAACGUCUGGAAACAGUCGCCCCGCAAGGUCUCUACACAGGUGGUGCAUGGUUGUCGUCAGCUCGUGUCGUGAGAUGUUGGGUUAAGUCCCGCAACGAGCGCAACCCUCGUUCUAUGUUGCCAGCACGUAAUGGUGGGAACUCAUGGGAUACUGCCGGGGUCAACUCGGAGGAAGGUGGGGAUGACGUCAAAUCAUCAUGCCCCUUAUGUCUUGGACUUCACGCAUGCUACAAUGGCCGGUACAAAGGGCUGCAAUACCGUAAGGUGGAGCGAAUCCCAAAAAGCCGGUCCCAGUUCGGAUUGAGGUCUGCAACUCGACCUCAUGAAGUCGGAGUCGCUAGUAAUCGCAGAUCAGCAACGCUGCGGUGAAUACGUUCCCGGGU